Molecule: ribosomal RNA, 499 nt
Filed under: uncultured bacterium
Lineage: Bacteria
Description: partial 16S ribosomal RNA
Rfam family: Bacterial small subunit ribosomal RNA
Source: RNAcentral
GAUGAACGCUGGCGGCGUGCCUAAUACAUGCAAGUCGAGCGAACAGACGAGAGUGCUUGCGCUCUCUGACGUUAGCGGCGGACGGGUGAGUAACACGUGGGUAACCUACCUAUAAGACUGGGAUAACUUCGGGAAACCGGAGCUAAUACCGGAUAAUAUUUAGCUUCGCAUGAAGCAAUAGUGAAAGACGGUUCUGCUGUCACUUAUAGAUGGACCCGCGGUGUAUUAGCUAGUUGGUGAGGUAACGGCUCACCAAGGCAACGAUACAUAGCCGACCUGAGAGGGUGAUCGGCCACACUGGGACUGAGACACGGCCCAGACUCCUACGGGAGGCAGCAGUAGGGAAUCGUCCGCAAUGGACGAAAGUCUGACGGAGCAAUGCCGCGUGAGUGAAGAAGGUUUUCGGAGCGUAAAACUCUGUUGUAAGGGAAGAACAAGUACGUUAGUAACUGAACGUACCUUGACGGUACCUUACCAGAAAGCCACGGCUAACUACGUG